AACAGGAACUCACCGGUGUCGGUGUAUUAUUAAUGUCAAAUCUUACCCUGCCAUCACCUGAGAUGUUGCUGGAGUUGUUAUCUGUGAAAAGUUUGUCACAUUUACGAAAGCUUCUAUGAAUUUGUUUUCCGUCUAAAAGCUUUUUCACCUCGUACGGUCAGUUGCUAUAAAAAGUGCUAGGCUAUGUUUACAAUAUGCUUCUAUGCUUUCAUAGGAGUUAUGCAGUAGGGUGAAGUAAGCAAAAGUGGGACUUUUUAUUUGUAAACUGUAUAUUUAAUACAGAUUAAUCUUUUGUAUUGAUGUUUUAAAACAAAUGUUCAAGUUUCUUAUAUCUCCAGCUGGUUUUUGAAGACUGUCAUGAUGCAGCUGAUACCUUUCGUGUCUCUGAGAAACACGGUGACAUUUCGUUACAAUGAUUCAGUGACCCUUAAAGAUUAUUAUUUUGCAUUUUGCAAUUUCUAAAAUUGUAUAAUUACAUCGGUACUCUCAUGAUAUUAUUAUGCAAUUAUAAUCGCAGGCAGCAGGUACCAUAUCCCUCGUCAGCAUUAAAUGGUCAGUGCUAAAGGUGCACGCGGGCAAAAGGGCAUUUGAUUUAAUUACCCUCUAAAACACUAGAUGCCAUAAAACGACGCCACAGCGAUUUCGUCAAUUGAGUUUCACUGUUUGCGCGUGGAAAUCCGGCUGAUUCUUGACGCGCUCGUGAGCAUCAUCAUGAUUCUGCUCUAAUCUGAUGGAACAGGCCUGGACAGCGCGUGCAUAAUUAUUAUGCACGUUGAUUUUCUGAUCCUAUUUUUUCCAAGCACAUUGUACCAAUUCCAAACCACAGCAAUGGUGACAGAUUGAAAUAUAGAUUCGGAUCUCCUCCGAAAAGGUUUUAAGAAACAUUCCGAAUCAUUAAUGUUUGUCUGUAUUUUAAAAAUAUAAAACAUAUUUCAGCGACAGUGUAUUUAUUGAACGAAAAUACAUUUGAUCAAAAUAGUACAAACUUUGCUCAAAAUGUCGUUUUGAACAAGUAUUAACUUAUUCUGCAAAACAACGCUCAUUGGUUCUCACCUUCGUCACAGAUUGCGACAUGCCGUGUUUCAGUGGAUUGACAUUUGAAAUGAGUGCGCGCUUUCACGGAGAGAAGCCGGAUUCAUCAUAUUUUCAUGGAUUAAUGAGUUAAAUUCUGCUCUGUACCCUAUAAAAAACUAUUACCGCCAGAGAAGACUGACUGGAACUCAUCAUCAUUUGAACUACUUUUGGUACCACUUUUGACAUUUUUCGCAAAUAAUAAAUUAUUGUGAUUACGCUUGUUUGUCUGUCAUUCUUUUAUUUAUAUUAGUAGGUAGUUUAAAGAAAUGGUUAUGGGUAGGUUUAGGGGUAGGUGUAGGAUUAGUGGCUCAAAAUAUCGUUUUAAUGUUAUAUUUUUACUAAAAUUGUCAUUUUCCUACACAUUUCUGUUCUUUAUUUUAUUCUUUUAACAUUCUGUAUAAAAUGGUUAGGUUUAAGUUCGGGAUGGGGUUUAGGGAUCUUACAUUUAUCUACAAAACGAUAAAAGGGAAAUUAUACAUAUAUCUUUAAGACAUGAUAAGAUUCGUAAAUAUUUUACGUUUUUUUUCGCUGUAAAAACGUAAGUAUUUUUACGUUUUAGUGCCAUAAUUACGUCAAUAUUGUACGUUUUAGCACCUUUCUAAACGUACAAAAAUGUACGUUUUGUAUCUUUGAAAGUUACGUAUUAAUACCUACGUAUUAACAAUGAGACCAGGCUGUGAUAUCAGUGCCGUAAACCAUGUCGUAACGCUUCUCGAGGGUGUCGCGACUUUCAAAUUUGAAUCAUAGCGAGCGCGAGCUUUGACUGUGACUGUCGCUGUUGCUGAGAAUGAAGAUGAAGAUCGAUGGAUAAAGGGCUGAAUUUGGAUCUGUUCCUUACAAACAUAUGGAUUCUAAAGAUUUGGAGUACAGUGAACAAAUAAAAUGGGUGUGAUUUGUGAAUUUAUGUUGUGUUUUGGUGUAUCUUAAGGUUGUAUUGUCAGUCACUGCAUAGGAGAAAACACCUUCUGUGUCUCACAGCAAACAAACUAAAUAUUACAAAAUGGUUAAACAAUUACAGAAAAUUUAUUCAUAAGGUUUUAAACUGUAGUCUUGUUUAACAUUAUGUAAUCCUCCGAAACGAGCAGCACAAGUCACGAACAGAAAUGUUAUUUCAUAUUAAGUAGAUGAGUAAACUGCUUUCAAUAAAUUCGACUAAAAACAUCGUUAAAUCAUUAAAGCCACGAUAUUUAAUAUUAAUACAUGGAAAUUCAUAUACAUUCACACUUUACGUUACAUGAUUUACGUUUUUAUUGCUGUUAAUACGUAAGUAUUUUUACGUUUUAGUCCUCUAAAUACGUCAAUGUACGUUUUUGUGUGUAUGAAAACGUAAGUAAAUGUACGUGUGGUAGAACCACAAUUUACGUAAAAAUACACACGUUUUCUCAUGAGAUCACGUUGAUCUGUCUGUAAAUGCUUCUUCAAUAACUGUUCAUAGUUUAAUCCCCUUGACUUCAGUCAUGUCCAGUUUCUCUUCUUCUUCCACACAUGUUUCCUGCAGUGAUUGUGAUUAUUGUUGAGAUGGCAGUGUUUGCUGCUCCUACUGUGAUUCUUCUUCAGAUCAUCUGUGCAAGAAGAGCUGGGAGGAAGGACUCGCAGCACCCAGAGGAAAUAGAGAUGCCUACAAUAUUACAAUAAAAUACUGCUGAGUUUGGAGACAAUCUGAAACAAGAUUUAAGUCAAGUGAAGUCACCUCAAAGCAGCUUUACAGCAGUAACAGGAAAAAUAAUGCUUUGUUUGUCAAAUAUGUCAUUGUUCAGCUUAAGUCAGUUAUUUUGCUUAAAAUAGCAAAGACUUACAGAGGACUGUUCACUGUUUUAUUUAUUUAUUCUUCUCAGAAAACAGAAAAAAUCAUCUGAGCACCCUGAAGAAAUAGUGAUACCAUCAAGUUUAGAUUCAAAUAUUUUUGCAAAUAACAGGCAAGAUAUUUGCGUUUAGUGUUGAAUGUCAUUUUCUUGUGGUUCGUUUAUAAACUGCUUUGAAUACAAUAUUAAAUACAGCAAUAGACAGA
This is a long non-coding RNA of Ctenopharyngodon idella (grass carp), 3082 nucleotides long. RefSeq lists it as uncharacterized. NCBI's taxonomy places the organism in Eukaryota, Metazoa, Chordata, Actinopteri, Cypriniformes, Xenocyprididae. The record is from RefSeq and is a predicted model, not a curated record. The transcript has 2 exons.